UACAGAGGGUGCAAGCGUUAAUCGGAAUUACUGGGCGUAAAGCGUGCGUAGUCGGUUAUUUAAGUCGGGUGUGAAAGCCCCGGGCUCAACCUGGGAAUUGCAUUCGAUACUGGAUAGCUAGAGUUCGGCAGAGGGAAGCGGAAUUUCCGGUGUAGCGGUGAAAUGCGUAGAUAUCGGGAGGAACAUCGGUGGCGAAAGCGGCUUCCUGGGCCGUAACUGACGCUGAGGAGCGAAAGCAUGGGGAGCGAACAGG
Molecule: ribosomal RNA, 253 nt
Filed under: uncultured bacterium
Lineage: Bacteria
Description: partial 16S ribosomal RNA
Rfam family: Bacterial small subunit ribosomal RNA
Source: RNAcentral